RNAcentral lists this ribosomal RNA (1343 nucleotides) under uncultured bacterium. Its description in RNAcentral is "16S ribosomal RNA". It matches the Rfam family "Bacterial small subunit ribosomal RNA", at positions 28 to 1378 of the family's 1533-position model. The record is from RNAcentral.
GACGAACGCUGGCGGCGUGCUUAACACAUGCAAGUCGAACGGAAAGGCCCUGCUUUUGUGGGGUGCUCGAGUGGCGAACGGGUGAGUAACACGUGAGUAACCUGCCCUUGACUUUGGGAUAACUUCAGGAAACUGGGGCUAAUACCGGAUAGGAGCUCCUGCUGCAUGGUGGGGGUUGGAAAGUUUCGGCGGUUGGGGAUGGACUCGCGGCUUAUCAGCUUGUUGGUGGGGUAGUGGCUUACCAAGGAUUUGACGGGUAGCCGGCCUGAGAGGGUGACCGGCCACAUUGGGACUGAGAUACGGCCCAGACUCCUACGGGAGGCAGCAGUGGGGAAUAUUGCACAAUGGGCGGAAGCCUGAUGCAGCAACGCCGCGUGCGGGAUGACGGCCUUCGGGUUGUAAACCGCUUUCGCCUGUGACGAAGCGUGAGUGACGGUAAUGGGUAAAGAAGCACCGGCUAACUACGUGCCAGCAGCCGCGGUGAUACGUAGGGUGCGAGCGUUGUCCGGAUUUAUUGGGCGUAAAGGGCUCGUAGGUGGUUGAUCGCGUCGGAAGUGUAAUCUUGGGGCUUAACCCUGAGCGUGCUUUCGAUACGGGUUGACUUGAGGAAGGUAGGGGAGAAUGGAAUUCCUGGUGGAGCGGUGGAAUGCGCAGAUAUCAGGAGGAACACCAGUGGCGAAGGCGGUUCUCUGGGCCUUUCCUGACGCUGAGGAGCGAAAGCGUGGGGAGCGAACAGGCUUAGAUACCCUGGUAGUCCACGCUGUAAACGGUGGGUACUAGGUGUGGGGUCCAUUCCACGGGUUCCGUGCCGUAGCUAACGCUUUAAGUACCCCGCCUGGGGAGUACGGCCGCAAGGCUAAAACUCAAAGGAAUUGACGGGGCCCCGCACAAGCGGCGGAGCAUGCGGAUUAAUUCGAUGCAACGCGUAGAACCUUACCUGGGUUUGACAUGGAUCGGGAGUGCUCAGAGAUGGGUGUGCCUCUUUUGGGGUCGGUUCACAGGUGGUGCAUGGCUGUCGUCAGCUCGUGUCGUGAGAUGUUGGGUUAAGUCCCGCAACGAGCGCAACCCUUGUUCACUGUUGCCAGCACGUUAUGGUGGGGACUCAGUGGAGACCGCCGGGGUCAACUCGGAGGAAGGUGGGGAUGACGUCAAGUCAUCAUGCCCCUUAUGUCCAGGGCUUCACGCAUGCUACAAUGGCUGGUACAGAGAGUGGCGAGCCUGUGAGGGUGAGCGAAUCUCGGAAAGCCGGUCUCAGUUCGGAUUGGGGUCUGCAACUCGACCUCAUGAAGUCGGAGUCGCUAGUAAUCGCAGAUCAGCAACGCUGCGGUGAAUACGUUCCCGGG